This 393-nucleotide ribosomal RNA is filed under the name uncultured bacterium. RNAcentral's name for it is "partial 16S ribosomal RNA". It matches the Rfam family "Bacterial small subunit ribosomal RNA", at positions 523 to 918 of the family's 1533-position model. The record is from RNAcentral.
AUACGGAGGAUGCGAGCGUUAUCCGGAUUUAUUGGGUUUAAAGGGUGCGUAGGCGGACGAUUAAGUCAGCUGUGAAAUGCCCGCGCUUAACGCGGGAAGUGCAGUUGAUACUGGUUGUCUGGAGUGCCGUUGCCGUGGGGGGAAUGUGUAGUGUAGCGGUGAAAUGCAUAGAUAUUACACAGAACGCCGAUUGUGAAGACAUCUCGUGAAGAACUAACGGUGCGUGAGGAAAGAAUGGGUGGGGAACAAGCAGAAUUAGACUCCUUGUUAGUACAGGAAGCAAACGAUGCUAACUAUCCGUGGGUGUUAGCCCUCCAGUGGCCAAGCUAAAGCGAUAAGUCAUCCACCUGGGGAGUACGACCGCAAGGUUGAAACUCAAAUGAAUUGGCGGGG